GGGCUUUAAAUUCAGCAUCUCUUAGAAAGGGGUUAGGAAAUUGACCAUAUCUUGUGAGAUUUGUUGUAAGCAGCAGCAUCGAGAUGUAAUGAAUUUGUUAGAAGAAGCAAGUGCGAAACGUGGGACCAAAGUACUACCGCGUCGCGUUCCAAAAUUUAUGUGCCUUGCUGUACAAAAGGAUAAGUUCUUUGGAGCAUCAUUCUCUAUUUGAAAUUCUUCAAUGCAAAAAUACUUCUUCUGGAAGCAUUGUUCUUCAUGAAAGACUUGACCGUUUGAAUUUCUGCCUUCACCCAUCCUUUGGAAUUUCCUGGACAUUGAUUUGUCUGUAAAUGACUUUGGAUGAAGGUUUAUGUUCCUUAUUUGCCAUUUAUAUAUCGAAUGCUUUUGCACAACUGAAUAUAAAUUUCUAGUAUUUGUA
Molecule: long non-coding RNA, 418 nt
Organism: Heteronotia binoei (common prickly gecko)
Lineage: Eukaryota; Metazoa; Chordata; Lepidosauria; Squamata; Gekkonidae
Exons: 2
Source: RefSeq, a predicted model, not a curated record